UAAAUGGUCCUCCAUUUGUCUGAUCUGUAAAUCACGAGAACGAACCUCGGCCACGAGAUUGUUUACUGUUGCAGUAACACAAUCUUUGUCUUUCAUAAGCAUAUCAUAUUUCAAUUUCAUUUUGUCAAGGUUCUUAUUCAAAGCUUCUAUCUGUAUACCUUUCUCAUUAAGUUCUGUCUUCAAUUGAUUGAUCUGACCUUGUAAGUUGGUUUCUUGUACAGCAAGCAAGCUUUCGAUAACUGGUAAUGGCGACAGACAAUCAAUGUGAAUAGCCAACUCACAAGGUGAACAACCAUACAAAUAUCCUCUUCCUUGAGUUACUUGGCAUAUUUUGCAAGCACGCCGUUCACUAUUAAAUUGCAAAACAAGAGGAUGUUUGCGAUGACACGAAUGAUCCAUUUUGAGAGGAAGCUCAGCACACCUCUUAUGCAAUUUAAACCCACAAUCAAGAAAGAAGUAUGUAUACAUUGCUAAUGGUUCCCAGCACACAAAACACUUACCCAGGUUUCCACCAUCGUUUUUAGAGGAAAACGAUGGAUCCUCAAGGGCCACAUGCUCAAGCUCUUUCAAAUUUCUUUCAGCAAUAUUAAAUGUAAACAAAGCACAUUUAAUAUGAAAGUCCAAGCCACAAGAGCAAUGGUAAAUGAAUUUCUCACAUGCUUCGUUACAGAAAUCGCAAACGCACCUUGUGUAAGGAGUGUAAGGUGGAUUCUGCAGAAGCAGGAGAGGAUGGUGGCGAUGAAAAGGAUGAUUAAGCUCCAAAGGUGCCUCGGCACAUUUCUUGUGGAGGUAAAACCCACAGCACUCCACACAGCCAAAACAUGGAGCUGACACCUUCUCCCCACACCUUGAGCAAUCAACAACUCCAUUGCCAUUGCCAAGCAACUGCUCUUCAUUUAACAUCAACAGUGGAUGUUGAUGCCCAUAGUUCUUUAGCUCUUCCAUUUCUCCUUCCUCUCUGUCUCUUUCGAUGUGGUAGAGAAAGAAAAAUUGAAAUUGAAUAACUCAAAGAAAGCAGAAAAUUAGAAGGGGGAGAUUCCAAAUGUUAAUUGGUAGGAGUCUCUUUGAACUUGCUAUGGUACUUUGCUUCAACGGUGGGUUGCCUUUACCUAUAUAUGUUUCUUCUUUAUAAUUACUGUGAAUGGGAUGCAAUGGGUUUGAGUGUAUGCUAAGUACAUUAUCAAUUUUUUUUCCUUUAUUCUUUGCUUUGUGGAUUAGAUAAUGAAUAUUGAUGGCGAAAGUGUUCUGAUAUUGUUUGUGUAAAAAAAUAAGAUAAUAUGAUGAAGGUAUUUUGACUGGUUACGAAUUUUUCAAUUGAGAAUGAUAUCAAACAAUCAAAUUAUUCUAAAAAAAUUGAAUUAAAUCAUUUAUCUAAUCGAAAAUUAAAAACCUAUUUAAUUUAUUCUGGUAUUUAGAAUAGAAAAAUUUGAACAAAGCUAGAUAGAUUAAUUAUACAAUUACCGACCCACCAAUCGGCUCUCUUAGGAAUGAGAAUGAGACAUCUUUAUUAUAGGAAUGAUCCACAUUCACUGUCCUGCAGUACAAACUGAAUCUACAAGCUAACGAUAGAAACAUAAACCAAAAUAUAUAGUACAUUGUUUGAUUAAAAUUGAAAACAUGGUUCAUAUUUGUCCAUUGCAAUGUUCAGAUGUUCAAUAACAUGCAAAAGAUAUAUAUAUAUAUAGUCUAAUGACAGCUUCAAGUUUAUCUAAGCAAAUACGAAUAUAUCACCCAAAACUUCCCACAGAAGCUCAAAUUUAAGUACUAAUAAGUUCAUAAAACAAGUUAAACGAAAGAUUACAUCAAGGGAAAAAGACAAUCCAGACAAGUAACUAUACCGAUACUCAUAUUUAAUCGAACUCAUAAAGCGAUAACCGCUUGUCGUUUGUGCUUGAGGAAUGUCUGAAGCUCUUUAUAACCACUCCUGUAAUGGUCCAGACUGAAUGUAAGCUGUCUUAUUACCUCUCUUUUCUCUUCUGACACAUCUAAGAUCAUGUUCCUUUGCUUAUCCACUUCCUUCUCAAGGUCCUUUAUCUUCAAUUUCAACUCAUCUUCUAGAUUCUUUGUUAGCUGCAUAUGUUCCUUGCUUAAUUGUUGUAAAUGGUCCUCCAUUUGUCUGAUCUGUAAAUCACGAGAACGAACCUCGGCCACGAGAUUGUUUACUGUUGCAGUAACACAAUCUUUGUCUGUCAUAAGCAUAUCAUAUUUCAAUUUCAUUUUGUCAAGGUUCUUAUUCAAAGCUUCUAUGUGUAUACCUUUCUCAUUAAGUUCUGUCUUCAAUUGAUUGAUCUGACCUUGUAAAUUGGUUUCUUGUACAACAAGCAAGCUUUUGAUUUCCGAAUUUGUGGUCUCACGUUGCCUUAUUUUUUCCUCC
This 2374-nucleotide long non-coding RNA is filed under the name Gossypium barbadense (sea-island cotton). RNAcentral's name for it is "long non-coding RNA (GBAR_LNC022122)". Lineage: Eukaryota; Viridiplantae; Streptophyta; Magnoliopsida; Malvales; Malvaceae. The record is from RNAcentral.